CCGGAUGAUCGACUAUCCAUAAUAAUCAGAGAUUCAAAAAUAACUUUAACUAUAACCAAAGUACGCUAUGACGAUGCUGGAAUUUACACGUGUUUAAUAAACAUAGCACAAGAAACUAAAGAUGUACAGCUCAUUGUUUCUGCGUUGGAGAAGGGUAGCGCUGUUGAUGUCCCGGGAACUGUUCCAUCUACCUCCAUACGAAUGAACGAUAAAACUUAUACCCCGUGGCCAGGUGAUGAAGCGUUGGAGAAGGGUAGCACUGUUGAUAUCACUGGAACUGUUCCAUCUUCCUCCAUACCGCUGGACGAUAAAACUGAUACCCUGUGGCCAGGUGAUGAAGUAGGUUCUGGUCGUGUCGAAUUAAUCGUUAUGGUAGUGAUCGGAUUGAUGGUACUAUUUUUUAUCCUCCUCGCAGCAAAUACGUUGUAUUUUAGAAGAAAGCUCAUUCGUGGAGAACGAGUGGACAGUAUCGGAAUGGUUGCUCAUAGCUAUG
Long non-coding RNA from Patella vulgata (common limpet), 493 nucleotides. RefSeq lists it as uncharacterized. The record is from RefSeq and is a predicted model, not a curated record. The transcript is spliced from 5 exons. Lineage: Eukaryota; Metazoa; Mollusca; Gastropoda; Patellidae.